UACGACGGGGGCUAGCGUUGUUCGGAUUUACUGGGCGUAAAGCGCACGUAGGCGGAUCGAUCAGUCAGGGGUGAAAUCCCAGAGCUCAACUCUGGAACUGCCUUUGAUACUGUCGAUCUGGAGUAUGGAAGAGGUGAGUGGAAUUCCGAGUGUAGAGGUGAAAUUCGUAGAUAUUCGGAGGAACACCAGUGGCGAAGGCGGCUCACUGGUCCAUUACUGACGCUGAGGUGCGAAAGCGUGGGGAGCAAACAGG
Molecule: ribosomal RNA, 253 nt
Filed under: uncultured bacterium
Lineage: Bacteria
Description: partial 16S ribosomal RNA
Rfam family: Bacterial small subunit ribosomal RNA
Source: RNAcentral